RNAcentral lists this long non-coding RNA (214 nucleotides) under Lathyrus oleraceus (garden pea). RNAcentral's name for it is "Pisum sativum (pea) long non-coding RNA (PSAT_LNC001886)". The record is from RNAcentral. Lineage: Eukaryota; Viridiplantae; Streptophyta; Magnoliopsida; Fabales; Fabaceae.
AAGAUGUGACCUUGUUUAUUGUGCAAUGAUGCAAAUGAUAUGUGGGAUCUUAGGGUUAAAAAUUAGGGUAUUACAUAUGCCCUUAUUUAAGUUUCUUCAAUUUGGAGAUAUGAAGGUUGAAAUCUUUGUCUCGACAAGAUUGAAGAGACUUAAAUAUCAAAGACCCAAUUUUUGGCCCUAAGAUACCGCAAAAUGCUUAUAAUAUGAUAUGAAU